UCACGGGCCCAGCCGCUCCACGGCAUGUGGGAUCCUCCCGGACCGGGGCACGAACCCGUGUCCCCUGCAUCGGCAGGCGGACUCUCAACCACUGCGCCACCAGGGAAGCCCCUGUGACUUUUCUUAUAUGAGCCCACUUUCAAACAGUCUAUGAAAAGUUUUAAGUAAGUCCCCUAGCAAUAAUCCUUGAGGACUCUACUCUGAAAUCAGAAAAAUCCUUCUGGUAUUGGGGAACCAACAGUAGUCAGCAGACCUGCAUACUGGCACCAGUUCUGCCACUUAUUAGUUGUUAGGGUACAGGCAAGUCAUUUAAUCUUAUCAUAAAAAUGCCUCUCCUCCCUUGCAGGUUUGUUCCAAGGAUUUCAUGAGAUAAUGUGUAUGAAAGCACUCUGAAAAUGCUAAACGACUGUAUAAAUAAGUGGUGCUAUUAAUAUCUCCACCCAGAAGCUUGCCUGUUUAAACCACGGUUUCCUAAAGUUAAGGCAGCUCUCUCUUUCAUUCAAUUCAUUCCACAGAUAUUCUUUAAGUGCCUACUUUACCCAACAUAGAACUUUGUCCCCAUUUUCUGAGUAACUUAGUUAAGUAGGGCUUUUCUUCAACGUUUAGUAUGUAAAUUUGUAAACACUUUUUUUUUUUAAAUGUAGCUUUCACUGUUUCUAUGCUUAUUUAUCCCUCAAAGAAUUGUGGUCAAAUAGUGAAACAUGAGACAUGCCGUAGCAUGCUGCAAAGGUAGAAGGCCAGAAGAGUCUCUGCCUGCAUCUCCCACAGAAAACAGGAGUGUCUUCUAUGCAUUCCAGGAGACACGAAGGGAAAGUUCAGACAGGGUACAGCUGAUGGCACAGUGAGAAGGGGAGGAGGAGGAACUGUAUAUAACUUCUCAGAUCCCAACAAUCAGUAUUAUAAGAAAUAGAUUUACUUACAUGAAAGCAGCUUACGGAAAUCUCCUUUAGCUGGUGGCCCAUUCAGCAAAGAAAAAUUUCUUCCAGUUUUAGAAGCUUCUGAAGGUUUAUAAAUACUGUUUCCAAAGGAAAUAUAAAAGGCAAGUGAUUCUUGGAGAAGAGGAAAAAAGACAGAUUUAAAAAAUGAUUUAGCUGUACAGCAGGUUAUGAAGGAGGGAAAAGGAAGAGAUUAAAAUGAUUCUUUCCUUCCUCCCUCUGUGACUCAGAGAUUAAUUUUAAAAAUAAUCUUCAUCCCAGUAUGGGAAGCUGAGCAAAGACUCACAUCUUCACAUUCCAAGUUCCAUGAUGGCCUUGGAGAGGAAAGGAGCAAAAGGAAGAGGGAGAUAGGAAACAGUAACUAUUAAAGAUAAUCUGGAAAAGACUUUACCUACUCAGAAGAGGUGAGAUGAAAUUAAAGGCAGGUCUAGCUGUGAUGAAAUAAGCAUUUUCUGUUAUCGCCCUAUUCUGAAGUAUGUUGUAUCAGCAAGGAUGAAGCCUCAACUUGUCUUUUCAUUCUUACCUCCCACUAACUCUUCUGGUGAUCCAUAUUUUACUCAUUCAAAUGAAUUUUCAUCUUUCAACACCAUUCCUCUUUCUUUGUAUCAGCAACAGAAGGCUUUCUUCUAGGUGUUUCCUAAGUCACAUUUAAUUUAUGUAAGCAUGUUCAUUUUUUUAAAGUUUUUUUAAAUUUUGAAAGUAUUAAAACUUACAGAAAAGUUGCACACAUAGCAUAAUGAACUUUUUUUUAACUGACUAAUUCGAGAGUAAGUUGCUGGCAUGACACCUGUGGUGGAAAUUGAGAUGCAUUGACCAGAUACCCUUCAAGGAAGGACUUGUUGCUCAACUGUGGGGUCAACAAGCAUCUGUCCACUGUCAUUCCCUUCAGGGUUGGCCUCAUCUUCAGAGAGCUACCUUGCCCAAGGAGAUGCCCCUUUCCCAGGUGGCCCAAAUCCAAGGACUGAUCAAGGGAAGGAUAGAGCGGCCUGGCUAUUUUGGCCCUGUGGAGGGCAACUUCAAUGGGCCAUUUCUGCUCAAGAGCUCCCAAUUGGGUUAGUUGAGUUUAUCAGCCUGUAUCUCAGAUCAACAUCUUCCUCUGCCCAAUUCUGUUUUCUUUCCUCCAACCCAUAGACAUGGAUCUCAAGAGCUCGCCUUCAUAAUUAUCCUGAACACUAAAGUCUGUCUCAGAGUCUGCUUCCUGGAAAACCCAAACUGCCACAGUUGGAGCCAGGAGAGAUCGAGAAAGCAGAUGAUAAGAUGGGGUUUUGAAGCUGGAUCACUACCCAGCUGGUAUGAGGACCUCAUCACUGGUGAUGGAUGGAGCACAGAUAGUCCCUGGCAUAAGGUGUCGAUCCCAAAGGCACUCCCUGAUAAACAUCCUGGACACUAAACUCUGACUCAGAGUCUUCUUCCUGCAGAGCCUGAACUGUGAAAAUGCCCUGUUAUCACAAAUACUUUUAGUAUGUAUAUUUUACUAGUGAAUAUUCAUCUAGAUAACCCCAGUACAAUAUCGAAAUCAGGAAUUUAACAUUGAUAUGUUACUGUAUAAUCCUCAUACCCCAUUCAAAUUUUGUCAAUGGUCACAAUAAUGUCCUCUGCCCAGAAAUUGUGCGUUGUAUUUAGCUGUCUCUUCAGUCUUCAAUUUUGAACGGUUCCCUAGUCUUUGCUUUACUUUCAUGACCUUGAUACUCUUUAAGAUUACGGCCACUUAUUUUUGUAGAAUGUCCCUCAGUCUGGGUUUGUCUGAGGUUUUGUGAUGACUAAAUAUAGGUUAUCUUUGGUGGAACGAUUAGAGAAGUGAUGCCACGUUCUCACUGUAUCCUAUUAGGUGGCACAUGACUUCAGUUUGUCGUGUCACUGGUGAUGCUAACUUGAUUAAGGUGGCAUCUGCCUUGUAAUUAAGUAUUUUGUGGGGAAGUACUUUGAGGCUAUGUAAAUAUCCCAUUCUUCAUAAUACUUCCUAGUUAUUCUUUUUAAAAUUUAUUAGCCAAGGAAUUCCUAUUUUAUUCAGUGGACAGUAACCCAUUACUGUCGUUAUUUUGACACUUAGACUGUUCCACAUUUGGUCACUGGGAGCCUCUUCAAGUUGGCUUCUUUAUUCUCUUAACAUAACUCCAUCAUUCUUUUGCACUUCCUUGCUUGCUGCAUGAGAUAGUCCAAGCUUAUUUUGUACUUUUCCUGCUCCAGCCCUGGAAUCAGCCAUUUCUCCAAGGAGCUCUGGUUCCUUCUGGCAGAGAAUGGCAUUCAGAAACUAAGAUCUUGGCGUUAGAUGUGCUCAUUGCUAUUGAGGUAUCAACUGUUCUUAGGCCCUUUCAGCAGACAGAUCUAGGGAAUAUAUGAAAUAUAUGUAUGUAUAUGUAUAUAUGUAUUUAUGUAUAUAAAUUUACAUUUAUGUUUACACAAACACAUUUUACAUCUAUAUUUCUAUAUCUAUAUAUAUUCAAAAUCAUGAGUUCAUGCUGAUACCUCCAAUUUCAAUCCAAUACCAACUAGUUCAUUCUAGUUUUUUCAUUAUUCAUAUAUGUAACUACCAUCUCUACCAGUAACAAAUGUAACUCCCAUUAUCCUUAGUAUGACUAUUAUAUUUCAUCAAUCCUUCUGUGCAUAAAUAAUCUCCUGUGAUUACCCCUUCCCCCUGUGUGGACACCUCCUCACCUUGCACUGGGCUGCUGCUCUGCCUUGGGCUCCAAUGCUUGGACUUGCUUGGGCUCCAAUGCUCCAAGCUGGACCAUCCCCUGCACAGUCACCUUCCUCACCCUGGUCUGACUCUGACACCCUGUGCCAGAUGGCCUUCCUUCAAUGGAUGGCCUCCUUACCCAGCUUGAUCUCUGCACCCACACUAGGCCUCCUUUCUUCCUCUCCCUUCCCCCUUCCCCAUGUGGAUAGCUAUCUUACCCUCAUUGGGUUCCAACGCCUGGCAACCACAGGCUAACCCUCUGCAGGGACUCCAUUCUCACUAUGCUCAGGAUACCACACCGGUCUCCCUCUCCGUGGGGGGGACACGCUCCUCAUCCCAGUCAGGCCACCCUCCACACAGACGCCCUUCUCACCUGUCUUGGGCUUUGACACCUGCACCUGGCUGACCUUUUACCCAGAUGCCCUCCUCACACCUUUCAGCCACCACAGUUCCACACCCCCACCAAGGACACCAACCUUGCUUGGCUCCAUGAAUUGGCUUUUGGCCUGAUUUGUACAGAAAGGAGAGGGAAAAGGAUGGGAAGGUAGAGGAAGAAGUGGCAGACCAUUAAUUCAUUCUUUGAAGUUCAUUUUUUUAAAGUUUUAUUCUAUUUAUUUAUUUUUUGGCCAUGCCGCGUGGCUUGUGGGAUCUUAGUUCCCCGACCGGAGGUUGAACUGCACCCUCAGCAGUGAAUGCAUGGAGUCCUAACCACUGGGCCACCAGGGAAUUCCCUAAAGUUCAUUUUUAAUAGAAUCAUUUUUCUGAUAUUUACUUCCAGUUUGGUUUGGGGCUCGAUUUAUUUCUUUUUUUCUUUUUCUUUUUUCUGACUAGAUUUAUUUCUGACGUCAUGUCUGUUAAAUUCAUGUUUGCCAAAAGAGCCAAA
This is a long non-coding RNA of Lagenorhynchus albirostris (white-beaked dolphin), 4495 nucleotides long. RefSeq lists it as uncharacterized. The record is from RefSeq and is a predicted model, not a curated record. NCBI's taxonomy places the organism in Eukaryota, Metazoa, Chordata, Mammalia, Artiodactyla, Delphinidae. The transcript is spliced from 2 exons.